RNAcentral lists this ribosomal RNA (1367 nucleotides) under Fusarium sp. NRRL 31075. RNAcentral's name for it is "partial small subunit ribosomal RNA". The stretch from base 1 to 751 matches the Rfam family "Bacterial small subunit ribosomal RNA", at positions 291 to 1533 of the family's 1533-position model. Lineage: Eukaryota; Fungi; Ascomycota; Sordariomycetes; Hypocreales; Nectriaceae. The record is from RNAcentral.
GCCUAACGGCUGAACUGGCAACUUGGAGAAGUGGCAAGUCUUCCAGUAUGGGGAGCAAAACAGCUAUGGGUCAAGUCCGAUAUCUUUAGGAGAAGUCUUAUUGUGAGGGCGAGUUAUAUAACACCAUAGGACUGGCCGUCCCAUAUGAAAAGAUUAUAUUAGAAUUGAAUGAAGCUUUGUUUAUAUAUUGAUAAUGACAGUAUAUAUAUCGUGUCUUGACUAAUUGCGUGCCAGCAGUCGCGGUAAUACGUAAGAGACUAGUGUUAUUCAUCUUAAUUAGGUUUAAAGGGUACCCAGACGGUCAAUAUAGCUUAUAAAAUGUUAGUACUUGACUAGAGUUUUAUGUAAGAGGGCAGUACUUGAGGAGGAGAGAUGAAAUUUCGUGAUACCAAAGGGACUCUGUAAAGGCGAAGGCAGCCCUCUAUGUAAAAACUGACGUUGAAGGACGAAGGCACAGAGAACAAACAGGAUUAGAUACCCAAGUAGUCUUUGCAGUAAAUGAUGAAUGCCAUAGGUUAGAUUAAUAGUUAAUGUUUAUAGGCUAAUUAUUGGCUUAGCUUAGCAAACUAAUGCUAUAGACUAGACAUUAAAAAUUAUUUGGUCUAUAAAUGAAAGUGUAAGCAUUUCACCUCAAGAGUAAUGUGGCAACGCAGGAACUGAAAUCACUAGACCGUUUCUGACACCCCUAACGGCUGAACUGGCAACUUGGAGAAGUGGCAAGUCUUCCAGUAUGGGGAGCAAAACAGCUAUGGGUCAAGUCCGAUAUCUUUAGGAGAAGUCUUAUUGUGAGGGCGAGUUAUAUAACACCAUAGGACUGGCCGUCCCAUAUGAAAAGAUUAUAUUAGAAUUGAAUGAAGCUUUGUUUAUAUAUUGAUAAUGACAGUAUAUAUAUCGUGUCUUGACUAAUUGCGUGCCAGCAGUCGCGGUAAUACGUAAGAGACUAGUGUUAUUCAUCUUAAUUAGGUUUAAAGGGUACCCAGACGGUCAAUAUAGCUUAUAAAAUGUUAGUACUUGACUAGAGUUUUAUGUAAGAGGGCAGUACUUGAGGAGGAGAGAUGAAAUUUCGUGAUACCAAAGGGACUCUGUAAAGGCGAAGGCAGCCCUCUAUGUAAAAACUGACGUUGAAGGACGAAGGCACAGAGAACAAACAGGAUUAGAUACCCAAGUAGUCUUUGCAGUAAAUGAUGAAUGCCAUAGGUUAGAUUAAUAGUUAAUGUUUAUAGGCUAAUUAUUGGCUUAGCUUAGCAAACUAAUGCUAUAGACUAGACAUUAAAAAUUAUUUGGUCUAUAAAUGAAAGUGUAAGCAUUUCACCUCAAGAGUAAUGUGGCAACGCAGGAACUGAAAUCACUAGACCGUUUCUGACACC